Molecule: ribosomal RNA, 690 nt
Filed under: uncultured actinomycete
Lineage: Bacteria; Bacillati; Actinomycetota; Actinomycetes; Actinomycetales
Description: bacterial SSU rRNA
Rfam family: Bacterial small subunit ribosomal RNA
Source: RNAcentral
UUAGAGAUUCACGACCUAUCAGCUUGUCGGCGAGGUAAGGGCUCACCAAGGCAAUGACGGGUAGCCGACCUGAGAGGGUCAUCGGCCGCACUGGGACUGAGACACUGCCCAGACUCGUACGGGAGGCAGCAGUGGAGGAUCAUUCGCAAUGGGCGAAAGCCGGACGGUGCGACGCCGCGUGAGGGAUGAAGGCCUUAGGGUUGUAAACCUCUGUCAGGAGCCAGGAACGGCGAGGGCGCUAAUAUCGCCUUCGCGUGACCAGCUCCAAAGGAAGCUCCGGCUAAUUACGUGCCAGCAGCCGCGGUAACACGUAGGGAGCAAGCGUUACUCGGAAUUACUGGGCAUAAAGGGCGUGUAGGCGGGUGCGAAAUUCCGGUGUGAAAGCCCUCGGCUCACCCGAGGAAUGCCAUUGGAAAGUGCGUGCCUUGAGUGCGGGAGGGGAGAGUGGAACUCUUGGUGGAGCGGUGAAAUGCGUAGAUAUCAAGAGGAACGCCGGUGGCGAAAGCGACCCUUUGGCCCGUUACUGACGUUGAGGCGCGAAAGCCAGGGUAGCGAACGGGAUUAGAUACCCCGGUAGUCCUGGCCCUAAACGAUGGGCACUGGGUAGUGGCGGUUCUGAUGCCGUCUCUGCCGUAGCUAAUGCGAUAAGUGCCCCGCCUGGGGAGUACGGAAUCGUCGACCGCCAGCCCC